RNAcentral lists this ribosomal RNA (179 nucleotides) under uncultured bacterium. Its description in RNAcentral is "partial 16S ribosomal RNA". It matches the Rfam family "Bacterial small subunit ribosomal RNA", at positions 1321 to 1500 of the family's 1533-position model. The record is from RNAcentral.
UGAAGCCGGAAUUGCUAGUAAUGGCAGGUCAGCAUACUGCCGUGAAUACGUUCCCGGGCCUUGUACACACCGCCCGUCACACCAUGAGAGUUGGGAAUACCCGAAGCCUGUGAGCUAACAUUAAGAGGCAGCAGUCGAAGGUAGAAUCAAUGAUUGGGGCGAAGUCGUAACAAGGUACC